GGACUACAGGGGUUUCUAAUCCUGUUUGCUCCCCACGCUUUCGCGCCUCAGCGUCAGUAACGGGCCAGUGAGUCGCCUUCGCCACUGGUGUUCUUCCGAAUAUCUACGAAUUUCACCUCUACACUCGGAGUUCCACUCACCUCUCCCGCACUCUAGGCGCCCAGUAUCAAAGGCAGUUCCAGGGUUGAGCCCUGGGAUUUGACCUCUGACUUAAACGCCCGCCUACGCGCCCUUUACGCCCAGUAAUUCCGAGCAACGCUAGCCCCCUUCGUAUUACCGCGGCUGCUGGCAC
RNAcentral lists this ribosomal RNA (292 nucleotides) under uncultured Alphaproteobacteria bacterium. RNAcentral's name for it is "partial 16S ribosomal RNA". Lineage: Bacteria; Pseudomonadati; Pseudomonadota; Alphaproteobacteria. The record is from RNAcentral.